UACGUAGGGGGCAAGCGUUGUCCGGAAUUACUGGGCGUAAAGCGUGCGCAGGCGGUUCGUUGUGUCGGCGGUGAAAGCCCCGGGCUCAACCUGGGAAUGGCCGUUGAAACUGGCGAACUGGAGUGUGGCAGAGGGGGGUGGAAUUCCGCGUGUAGCAGUGAAAUGCGUAGAGAUGCGGAGGAACACCGAUGGCGAAGGCAGCCCCCUGGGCUGACACUGACGCUCAGGCACGAAAGCGUGGGGAGCAAACAGG
RNAcentral lists this ribosomal RNA (253 nucleotides) under uncultured bacterium. Its description in RNAcentral is "partial 16S ribosomal RNA". It matches the Rfam family "Bacterial small subunit ribosomal RNA", at positions 524 to 776 of the family's 1533-position model. The record is from RNAcentral.